RNAcentral lists this ribosomal RNA (228 nucleotides) under Triticum aestivum (bread wheat). RNAcentral describes it as "partial small subunit ribosomal RNA". Lineage: Eukaryota; Viridiplantae; Streptophyta; Magnoliopsida; Poales; Poaceae. The record is from RNAcentral.
AUGGCGAGGAGAGAUAGCUGCUUGGCGCGCAUCGGCGCCGGAGUCGCCAUCGGCGGCGCGGUCGGCGGAGCCGUCGGUGCUGUGUAUGGGACUUAUGCCGCUAUCAGAUUGAGGGUCCCUGGGCUGCUGAAGAUCAGACACAUCGGACAAGCCACCGUUGGCAGCGCUGCGGUAUUCGGGCUUUUCUUGGGAGCUGGGAGUUUGAUACACUGCGGGAAAAAUUACUAG